This is a long non-coding RNA of Uranotaenia lowii, 310 nucleotides long. RefSeq lists it as uncharacterized. The transcript is spliced from 3 exons. The record is from RefSeq and is a predicted model, not a curated record. NCBI's taxonomy places the organism in Eukaryota, Metazoa, Arthropoda, Insecta, Diptera, Culicidae.
GUGGGAGAUAAUGACAACGCUCCGGGUGAGGGUGGAAAUCCACAAGAAUCUAUUAUUGCUGUCGGAUCCGGAUAGCUGAUCAGUAUGGUCGGAAAUGCAUUUUUCAGUGUCGGCUAAUGCUAUUCUCGAGUUCCCCAACCGGGGAACCUCCCUCGAUGGUGUAGCAAGUUAAUAUUUCGGGAACAAUUGGCCGGAGGACAUGCAGUUUUUCAGACGCUAAGUGCAUCUAAAUCAGCGAGUCUGUUCUCUUUGCUGCAGCCCGAGUUCCCCGACCGGUGGUGCUAUAACACAAUCGUAAAGUGAAGUAAUG